This 741-nucleotide ribosomal RNA is filed under the name Stachyurus salicifolius var. lancifolius. RNAcentral's name for it is "eukaryotic LSU rRNA". The stretch from base 312 to 467 matches the Rfam family "5.8S ribosomal RNA". The record is from RNAcentral. Lineage: Eukaryota; Viridiplantae; Streptophyta; Magnoliopsida; Crossosomatales; Stachyuraceae.
CGUAGGUGAACCUGCGGAAGGAUCAUUGUCGAAACCUGCCCAGCAGAACGACCCGCGAAUCUGUUAUCGUGCCGGGGGAGGACGAAGGGUGCGCUCGCGCAUCCUCCGCCCUUCCCUCGUCGGGAAGCACGCGUGCGCCUCCGUCGUCCCCCCUCGCGGAGGAGGACGGUGCGCGCGCGCGGGCUCUCCUCGACCGAACAACGAACCCCGGGGCAAAACGCUCCAAGGAACUUUUAAACUCGGACCUUGCUCCCGUCGCCCCGGUCACGGUGCGCGCUCGGGAAGCAGUGCUGUCUUUUGUAACCAAUAACGACUCUCGGCAACGGAUAUCUCGGCUCUCGCAUCGAUGAAGAACGUAGCGAAAUGCGAUACUUGGUGUGAAUUGCAGAAUCCCGUGAACCAUCGAGUCUUUGAACGCAAGUUGCGCCCGAAGCCAUUAGGCCGAGGGCACGUCUGCCUGGGCGUCACGCAACGUCGCCCCCCCCCAACACCCCGUCUCGCGAGACGCGGGAGAUGCGUGGGGGCGGAUAGUGGCCUCCCGUGCGCCGCUGCUCGCGGUUGGCCUAAAUGCGAGUCCCCGGCGUCGAGCGCCACGACAAGCGGUGGUUGAGAGACCUUCCGGAUCCAGUCGUGCGCGCCCGUCGUCCAACGGGAGCUCUCUGACCCUUUGCGCGUCGUCUCGACGACGCUUUCGUAGCGACCCCAGGUCAGGCGGGGCUACCCGCUGAAUUUAAGCAUAUC